AUGGCUGUCGUCAGCUCGUGUCGUGAGAUGUUGGGUUAAGUCCCGCAACGAGCGCAACCCUCAUCUUUAGUUGCCAUCAGUUAGGCUGGGCACUCUAGAGAAACUGCCUGCGAUGAGCAGGAGGAAGGCGGGGAUGACGUCAAGUCCUCAUGGCCCUUAUGGACUGGGCUACACACGUGCUACAAUGGCGGUGACAGUGGGAAGCAAUAGGGCGACCUGGAGCAAAUCCCCAAAAGCCGUCCCAGUUCGGAUUGUACUCUGCAACUCGAGUGCAUGAAGUUGGAAUCGCUAGUAAUCGUGGAUCAGCAUGCCACGGUGAAUACGUUCCCGGGCCUUGUACACACCGCCCGUCACACCAUGGGAAUUGGUUCUACCCGAAUGCGGUGAGCUAACCUGCUUGCAGGAGGCAGCCGACCACGGUAGGGUCAGUGACUGGGGUGAAGUCGUAACAAGGUAGCCGUAGGGGAACCUGCGGCUGGAUCACCUCCUUUCUAAGGAAAAACAAAGGGUGGGCACUUAUUGUCUGCCGCUGCCCAGCGAAUUUCUUCCAAACAAACUUAAAUGGUAUACGGCAGCUACAGGCGCGUAGCUCAGUUGGUUAGAGCGCACGACUGAUAAUCGUGAGGUCGGCAGUUCAAAUCUGCCCGUGCCUACCAUCUGUUCGGCCGCCUUUGGCUGGCAAUCAUUUUGGUUUAGAAGGAAAUGCUUAUUUAUCUCGUUCGUACGGCAAUGGUCGUUCAACGAAAUACGCUGUUUGACAAAGUUAGUGAAGACAUCCAAGACCGCGGGAUUUAGCUGUGGUGAUUUCUGGUUUACCGGUAAAUCAUGCAACUAAUCCUGCAAGAAUAGCUUGCAGAUCGCAUGUGAGGGCCCUUGCCUUUACGUACGGUCUGAUCAAGCGUCUCUAAGGGCAUUUGGUGGAUGCCUUGGCGUUGAGAGGCGAUGAAGGACGUGACACGCUGCGAUAAGCCAUGGGGAGCUGCGAGUAAGCUUUGAUCCGUGGAUUUCCGAAUGGGGAAACCCGG
This 1025-nucleotide small RNA is filed under the name uncultured bacterium. Its description in RNAcentral is "bacterial SSU rRNA". The stretch from base 1 to 491 matches the Rfam family "Bacterial small subunit ribosomal RNA", at positions 1045 to 1533 of the family's 1533-position model. The record is from RNAcentral.